UACGUAGGUCCCGAGCGUUGUCCGGAUUUAUUGGGCGUAAAGCGAGCGCAGGUGGUUUAUUAAGUCUGGUGUAAAAGGCAGUGGCUCAACCAUUGUAUGCAUUGGAAACUGGUAGACUUGAGUGCAGGAGAGGAGAGUGGAAUUCCAUGUGUAGCGGUGAAAUGCGUAGAUAUAUGGAGGAACACCGGUGGCGAAAGCGGCACUCUGGCCUGUAACUGACACUGAGGCUCGAAAGCAUGGGGAGCAAACAGG
RNAcentral lists this ribosomal RNA (252 nucleotides) under uncultured bacterium. RNAcentral describes it as "partial 16S ribosomal RNA". It matches the Rfam family "Bacterial small subunit ribosomal RNA", at positions 524 to 776 of the family's 1533-position model. The record is from RNAcentral.